UUAUAAUGUAUAAGUAUAAUAUUUUAGGAUAAGCGAGGCACUGUUAUUUAUUUUAAUUGAAUAUUUGAAUAAUUACUACUAAUGAAUAACAAUUUGGUUUAUAAUGUAUGAGUAUAUUAUUUUGGGGUAAGAAAGGCACUGUCGUUUAUUUUGCGCCUAAUCGUUUCUUUUUUAAUGUUCCUGAUUUUAAACUAAUUAAAGUGAACAAUUAAAGUUCUAUUUUAAUUGAACAUUUGAAUAAAUGAUUACCAAUAGAUAACACGUUUGUUUAUUAUGUACACCUAUAAUAUAUUGGGUUAAGAAAGACAUUGAUAUUUAUUUUGCGCCUAUCAUUUCUUUUUUAAUGUUUAGGCACUGUUGUUUAUUUUGCGCCUUUUUUUUUAAUGUUCUUGACUUUAAACUAAUUAAAGUGAACAAUUAAAGUUUUAUUUUAAUUGAAUAUUUGAAUAAAUGAUUACUAAUGAAUAACAAUUUUGUUUACAAUGUAUGAGUAUAAUAUUUUAGGGUAAGAAAGGCACUAUCGUUUAUUUUGCGGCCAAUCGUUUCUUUUUCAAAGUUCUUAACAUUAAACUAAUUAAACAAGUUUUAUUUUAAUUAAAUAUUUGAAUAAAUAAUUACAAAUAAUUAUUAUAUUUUUUUUAUAAUGUAUGGUAUAA
Molecule: long non-coding RNA, 656 nt
Filed under: Manihot esculenta (cassava)
Lineage: Eukaryota; Viridiplantae; Streptophyta; Magnoliopsida; Malpighiales; Euphorbiaceae
Description: long non-coding RNA (MESC_LNC011919)
Source: RNAcentral